AUUGAACGCUGGCGGCAUGCCUUACACAUGCAAGUCGAACGGCAGCACGGGAGCAAUCCUGGUGGCGAGUGGCGAACGGGUGAGUAAUAUAUCGGAACGUGCCCAGUCGUGGGGAUAACGUAGCGAAAGCUACGCUAAUACCGCAUACGGAUCUAUGGAUGAAAGCGGGGGAUCGCAAGACCUCGCGCGAUUGGAGCGGGCCGAUAUCAGAUUAGGUAGUUGGUGAGGUAAAGGCUCACCAAGCCGACGAUCUGUAGCUGGUCUGAGAGGACGACCAGCCACACUGGGACUGAGACACGGCCCAGACUCCUACGGGAGGCAGCAGUGGGGAAUUUUGGGACAAUGGGCGCAAGCCUGAUCCAGCAAUGCCGCGUGCAGGAUGAAGGCCUCGG
RNAcentral lists this ribosomal RNA (392 nucleotides) under uncultured bacterium. Its description in RNAcentral is "bacterial SSU rRNA". It matches the Rfam family "Bacterial small subunit ribosomal RNA", at positions 29 to 420 of the family's 1533-position model. The record is from RNAcentral.